UGAGAAUAAUGAUCAGGUACCGUAAGAAUAAUUCGCAAAUAUUCUUUCAUAAGUAUAAUCAAAUUAUCGUCGAUUCAUUGUAUUUCACUUUUUUAAAAUUUUUAAAUUUUUUCACAAUAUGAUCUCAUUACUAUUCUCCUUCUUACAUAUUUUGAUUUUGAUUUACAGUAUUUUUUACGAGCAUUCUUUUGAGAAAAUCAGACUUCGUCAGUUAAUUCCUUCAAAAUAUUAUUUAUUACACAUUUAUUUUUUAUAUUCAUUGAUAGUUCGUCGUCCCGUUUAGCAUAUAAAUAUAAUAGUUUAAUAUAAACAGGAUAGCAAGAACACGCAUAACACUGCUUUCUUUGAAGCAAUACAAUUUCACUUUCUCUUGUUUCGAAACUUCUGCUUUAUAUAUGCUAUGUAUAUAAAAUAUUUUUUUCUUAUAUUAUGAAUAUAUAGAUAUUUUAAAAUAAGUAAUAAUAAAACGUGAUAAUAAUCUAUCGCUUCAGAAAAUUUGUUUAUGCAAAGGAAAAUAUAAAAUCGUAAAUAUGUAUCGUUUCUUUGUGCAAUUUCCUCAAUGAAAUCAAGUUUCAUUCAAGAUACUUGGACGUCGAUUACGACAACGGUAUUUGAAUCGCUUGAGCGAUCUUCGUUCGCAUGUAAAAGUCACGGUUUAAGGGAUAUUCUGUUUGCGAAAAGUGUAUAGGUUAGGUUUAAGUAUCAUAUAAGUUUGUUUUCUUACGUUUAUUGCGAACUCGAGAAAACAGAUUCCGGGGAGAGUACACUAUCAGUCAAAAGUUUCGAAUCACUAACGUAAUCCAAGAUCUCAAGAAUCGAAAGAAGAGGUUAGGUUAGAAUUUUGUCGCGUCGAAAAAUUUUUUCAUGAAGAGUCUAUCGAUGUAAAUUUAUUGAUAUCUAUAGUAUUAAUAUACUCAAUACAAUUGACAGAAGGUUCAAUACGUAACUGGAAAAGAGAUUUCAAAUUUUUGAUUGGUAAUGUAUGAUCUACACCUACGAGAUACGUUACGUUCCUCGUUAUGUUAUUUUCUUCUAAAACUUGUUCUGGAAUGAAGUAAGGUUAUUGUGAGAGAGAAGAUACAUUGUAGGUCAUCAUAAACAGAAUAAAGAAAUAUUGCGAGACUUUGGCCGAAUAAUAGAAUCACAAGUAUGAACACUUGACAACGCGAAAAAAAGAAGAGGGUAAAAGUAGAAAGUUAUGUAUAAAACGAAUUACGGAAUCGCCACUUACGAAGCUUCAGACAAGCAAAGGAAACGAACCUUCAA
Molecule: long non-coding RNA, 1266 nt
Organism: Apis mellifera (honey bee)
Lineage: Eukaryota; Metazoa; Arthropoda; Insecta; Hymenoptera; Apidae
Exons: 2
Source: RefSeq, a predicted model, not a curated record